CAAUAGCGUAUAUUAAAGUUGUUGCGGUUAAAAAGCUCGUAGUUGGAUUUCUGCCGAGGACGACCGGUCCGCCCUCCGGGUGAGUAUCUGGUUUGGCCUGGGCAUCUUCUUGGAGAACGUAGCUGCACUUGACUGUGUGGUGCGGUGUCCAGGACUUUUACUUUGGGGAAAUUAGAGUGUUUCAAGCAGGCACACGCCUUGAAUACAUUAGCAUGGAAUAAUAAGAUAGGACCUCGGUUCUAUUUUGUUGGUUUCUAGAGCUGAGGUAAUGAUUAAUAGGGAUAGUUGGGGGCAUUCGUAUUUAACUGUCAGAGGUGAAAUUCUUGGAUCUGUUAAAGACGGACUACUGCGAAAGCAUUUGCCAAGGAUGUUUUCAUUGA
Molecule: ribosomal RNA, 380 nt
Filed under: uncultured eukaryote
Lineage: Eukaryota
Description: partial 18S ribosomal RNA
Rfam family: Eukaryotic small subunit ribosomal RNA
Source: RNAcentral